GUCAGUGCUACAAAGUUACACAGCAAAGGGCAUGGAGACAGGGAUGGAAGAAGUGAACUAUUUUUCCGAUCUAUCACACUAAUGAUGUUUGGGUCUGGUCUUGGUGCAAGAAAGCAGAGACAUUUCAAGGUGAGGUUGUUACUCAGCAAGGGCUUGCCACCCUAUAUGCACAGAAACCAAUACAAUGGCAUACUGGUCUUUGAAAGAAGUUUAUCGCACCAUGGAUUGGCAAGGAAACAGAAGGACCGGCUCUCAAUUAUGUCGCCACCAUCCAGAGUAUAAGGAUCAGGACUGAUCAGAAGCUCAUUCCUAGACAUUUGCUACUGUUUGGAGAUCUGAAGAGGGCUAAAUUCCUGAUCUAACAAGAGAGUUCCGUCUUCGAGUUUCCCCUUGGUGAGAGUCGCUAUCUGUG
Molecule: long non-coding RNA, 412 nt
Filed under: Equus caballus (horse)
Lineage: Eukaryota; Metazoa; Chordata; Mammalia; Perissodactyla; Equidae
Description: lncRNA (ENSECAG00000056010.1)
Source: RNAcentral